Long non-coding RNA from Homo sapiens (human), 1546 nucleotides. Ensembl annotates it as survival associated mitochondrial melanoma specific oncogenic non-coding RNA. Its record names the gene SAMMSON. The record is from Ensembl. NCBI's taxonomy places the organism in Eukaryota, Metazoa, Chordata, Mammalia, Primates, Hominidae.
GGGCAGACACACUGAAGUCGCUAGACAUUUGAGGAACACAUCCGGGGAAGAAGACACAGGUGGCUGGUCAUGGAGAGCCCGCUGGGGGAAGAGCACACAGACAGGCACCGGCAGGCCAUUGACCAGCGGGACAAGGUGGGCUCAAUGUCAUCACAAGGGUGCUUAAGAGGGAAAGAGGAAGCCAUGAGGGUCAGAGUCAAAGGAAGACUUGAAGAUACUACACUGCGGACUUUAAAGAUGAAGGAAGGGGCGAAAACCAAGAAUGUGGGAAGCCUCUAGAAGCUAGAGAAGGCAAGGAAACAAAUUUUCCACUAGAGCCUCCAGAAGGAACACAGCCCUGCUGACCCACUGUAAUGUCUGACCUCUAGAUGUGUAAGGGUAGUAAGACUGAAAGUCUCAGAAAGGCACUGUUAAAUUCUUAUUCCUCAACUAUGCAACUCAAAACUGGGGUCCUCAGCAGUGAGCGAGGGGUGAGAGAAGACACUGUAUAAACAUGGCACAUCCUCCUGGAAAGUCAACUUUACUCAAAGGUUCUUACACACAGUGACAGCUAGCAGAGUCUAAAAUGCUGACAUUAUGACUUAGAGAUGUGAUAAAGAGAAACAUCUAUUGCAUUUUCUAAAACAUUUGCCAGUUCCCAGUCUACACUUACACUGUCCAAUGGAAAUACAAUGCAAACCAGAAGUGUAAUUUGGCUCGUGUGGAAUGACUUAUCCUGGAAUUUAGAGUUGAAGAUAAUCCUGAUGCUUCAAAGAGAAGAGUUGGAACACAGUCCUUUUUUCUAAACAGAGGAAUUGUUGAAUAUGCGACUGAACCUCUGACUUAACUAAUUAGUUAAUUUGGAGCAGAGUUUGAACACAGUCCUUUUUCUAAACAGAGGAAUUGUUGAAUAUGCAACUGGUCCUCUGACUUAACUAAUUAUUUAAUUUGGAAGUUAUAGGUUUUUUAUUACUUGAGGAGCAGCUUUCUCUGAACAAAUACAGUGUCCCCUGGGGUGUCCAAAUUGUGACAGAAAAGUAGCGCCAGCUUGAAACUAGCUAGUCAUCACAUAGUGGCAUCAUGUGAAUGAAGAAUCCCCCAAAUCUGUGACCCUCUUCUAUCCUUAUGAACUAAUUCAAUAAAUAAAUGAGCACUUUCUCAGUUCCCAAACUGAGAGCAGUUUAAAAAAAUAAUGAGAGCACAGAUAUCUAUUUAGAGAGAUGGCGAGAUAGAGGAGAGAGCAAGUUGCACACCACGAAACAAAGGGAAAGAUAAGAAGAGAGAGUGUGUCACUACUUCCCCGUGGCAGAAUCACAAUCUUUUUUGGAUGUCAUGUUGAAAAGAUUCCCAAUUCGUAGUUCUGUGAGCUAAAGCAGAUGGAUGCUCCAUGUUGGUACAAAUUCCUAUUUGAAGCAGUGUGGUUGCAAAGAUGGGGUUUGGGUCAUUUGAUUUUCUCCGAAAAACAAUCUUGUGUAACUGUUAAAAGAAUUUAUAAUACCCAAUGCAAUGUAUCAUCCGUGAUGCUUCUUCAAAAAUGUUAAAUAAAUGCUGAAACCAGUGUUUCAAA